CAGUAGCCACGGUAAUACGUAGGUGGCAAGCGUUGUCCGGAAUUAUUGGGCGUAAAGGGCUCGCAGGCGGUUUCUUAAGUCUGAUGUGAAAGCCCCCGGCUCAACCGGGGAGGGUCAUUGGAAACUGGGAAACUUGAGUGCAGAAGAGGAGAGUGGAAUUCCACGUGUAGCGGUGAAAUGCGUAGAGAUGUGGAGGAACACCAGUGGCGAAGGCGACUCUCUGGUCUGUAACUGACGCUGAGGAGCGAAAGCGUGGGGAGCGAACAGGAUUAGAUACCCCUGUAGUCCCUGUCUCUUAUAC
This 301-nucleotide ribosomal RNA is filed under the name uncultured bacterium. RNAcentral's name for it is "partial 16S ribosomal RNA". It matches the Rfam family "Bacterial small subunit ribosomal RNA", at positions 509 to 807 of the family's 1533-position model. The record is from RNAcentral.